Molecule: long non-coding RNA, 1420 nt
Organism: Hippocampus zosterae (dwarf seahorse)
Lineage: Eukaryota; Metazoa; Chordata; Actinopteri; Syngnathiformes; Syngnathidae
Exons: 2
Source: RefSeq, a predicted model, not a curated record
CAGUGGAAAAACUAAAACAAAAAAAAAUCCUGAAUAAGCCCAAUAAACCAAAGUACAAACAAACAAAAAACCAUGACAGUAAAACAAAACAACAUGACACCAAUUCGACACAGACUGACAGCAACCAGGGAACUAAAUACAAGCAAACUGACGAGACAACAAGGAAUACCUGGACAAAUAAUAAUAAUAAUAAUAAUAAUAUUUUAUUUGAAAGCGCUUUUCAUCAUACUCAAAGACACUUUACAAGAUCUUAAAACACAGGAUAAAAAUGUACACUUAAAGACAAGCAUACACGAUUUACAAAAAAAACAUUUAGAUGAACAAAAAAGCAAAAAAUGGGUAAAAGAAAUGAAAAGGUCUUAAAAGCAUUGCAGAACAAGUGAGUUUUAAGAGAUGAUUUGAAGGAUUGGAGGUCAGUACAGUUGCGGAUGUGUUGUGGUACAUGAAUCAUAUGAAUAUCAGGAUUUGAUAUCUGAAAGACAGCUAGACAGGGUUGAGUGGGUUGUUGGGGUAAAUGAUUUGGUGGAGAUGUAUAAUUGGACGUCAUCAGCAUUGCAGUGGAACUGGAGACCGUUGGCCGAAGGGUAGAAGAUAGAGGAUGAAGAGCAGAGGACCAAGAACAGAACACCUUGGGACAGUGGGGCAGUGUAGGAAGAGCAGUUGUUGAGUAUGAAUUUUUUCCUGUCUGUGAGAUAUGAGCGAAGUCAGGUGCGUACUUUGUCGGUGAUGUUUAGGGAUUGCAGCCGAGAGAGUAGGAUGGAGUGGUUGUUGGUGUCGAAGGCAGCUGUAAAGUCAAGAAGGAUGAGGAUGGAGAGUAGACAAAACACAAAGGGUUGAAGAAGAUGCUUGUUGAACACAAGGUACCUGGAUGAAAUGUGGAAACAAAACCUAAAGAGGAAGACAAAAAAAGCACAUGAGGAAACAAAAACAAAUAUAAUCUAAACAAAAACAGAAUCAUGAGCGUAUCCCUCCCUCAAGGUACCGAUUGCAGAUGUCCCAAAGUCACCCAGCGGCGGCCGCAGGAUGUGUGCUGCCAAAGACGGUUGAUGGCCACAGGACGCGUGACACCGAAAAAGGUACAGGUGGCUGCAGGACAUACACCACCAACGCAGAGAUGGUUGGCGGCUGCAGAACGUGUGCCGCCAAAGCAGGGACAGGUGAUGGCCACAGAAUGCGCAACGCCGAAGCAGGGAUGGUUGACAGCCACAGGACAUGCGACGCCGAAGCAGCGACUGUUGACAGCUGCUGGAUGUGCACCGUAACAUUUGGUCAGAUCGUUGUGUCAUGGCUGCACGAUGGUAGAGGACCCAAAAAAGUAGGGAGGCGGGAGAAGCAGUGUGUACUGAACCUCAUGUAUUAACUAAAAACACUUGAAGCGGAACAUUAAAAAACAAAAUCCAAAUUACAAAUUCCUGACCCC